RNAcentral lists this ribosomal RNA (314 nucleotides) under uncultured bacterium. RNAcentral's name for it is "bacterial SSU rRNA". It matches the Rfam family "Bacterial small subunit ribosomal RNA", at positions 28 to 334 of the family's 1533-position model. The record is from RNAcentral.
GAUGAACGCUAGCGACAGGCCUAACACAUGCAAGUCGAGGGGCAGCAUGAAAUUAGCUUGCUAAUUUUGAUGGCGACCGGCGCACGGGUGAGUAACACGUAUGCAACCUGCCUGUAAGCGGGGGAUAACCCGGAGAAAUUCGGACUAAUACCGCAUAAUAUCAUCGAAUCGCAUGUUUUGAUGAUUAAAAUUUAUUGCUUACAGAUGGGCAUGCGUAUGAUUAGCUAGUUGGCGGGGUAACGGCCCACCAAGGCGACGAUCAUUAGGGGUUCUGAGAGGAAGGUCCCCCACAUUGGAACUGAGACACGGUCCAA